UACGUAGGGUGCAAGCGUUGUCCGGAAUUAUUGGGCGUAAAGAGCUCGUAGGCGGUUUGUCGCGUCUGCUGUGAAAACUCGGGGCUCAACUCCGAGCUUGCAGUGGGUACGGGCAGACUAGAGUGCGGUAGGGGAGACUGGAACUCCUGGUGUAGCGGUGAAAUGCGCAGAUAUCAGGAGGAACACCAGCGGCGAAGGCGGCGCUCUGGGCUGGAACUGACGCUGAGGAGCGAAAGCGUGGGGAGCGAACAGG
RNAcentral lists this ribosomal RNA (253 nucleotides) under uncultured bacterium. RNAcentral describes it as "partial 16S ribosomal RNA". It matches the Rfam family "Bacterial small subunit ribosomal RNA", at positions 524 to 776 of the family's 1533-position model. The record is from RNAcentral.